GAUGAACGCUGGCGGCGUGCUUAACACAUGCAAGUCGAACGGUGAACCCCGCUUCCGGCGGGUCUAGUGGCGAACGGGUGAGUAACACGUGCGCAACCUUCCCCCACCUCUGGGACAACUCUAAGAAAUUGGGGCCAAUACUGGUUAUGACUGCUGACUGCAUGGUCUGGUGUCGGAAAUAUUGAUCGGCUGGGGUUGGGCGUGCAGCCAAUCCCCUUGCUGGUGGGGUAGUGGCCUACCAAGGCGCCGACGGGUAGCCCGCCUGGGAGGGUGACCGGCCACACUGGGACUGAGACAGGGCCCAGACUGCUACGGGAGGCAGCAGUGGGGAAUAUUGCGGAAUGAGCGAGAGCCAGUCACAGCGACGCCGCGAGGGGAAUAACGGCCUUCGGGUUGUAAACCACUUUCAGCAGGGACGAAGCGGACGUGACGGUACCUGCAGAGAAAGCACCGGCUAACUACGUG
This 465-nucleotide ribosomal RNA is filed under the name uncultured bacterium. Its description in RNAcentral is "partial 16S ribosomal RNA". It matches the Rfam family "Bacterial small subunit ribosomal RNA", at positions 28 to 507 of the family's 1533-position model. The record is from RNAcentral.